UCCAGACUCCUACGGGAGGCAGCAGUGAGGAAUAUUGGUCAAUGGGCUUACGCCUGAACCAGCCAAGUCGCGUGAGGGAAGACUGCCCUAUGGGUUGUAAACCUCUUUUGUCAGGGAGCAAUUGGCGCUACGUGUAGCGUUAUCGAGAGUACCUGAAGAAAAAGCAUCGGCUAACUCCGUGCCAGCAUCCGCGGUAAUACGGAGGAUGCGAGCGUUAUCCGGAUUUACUGGGUGUAAAGGGCGUGUAGGCGGGAGUGCAAGUCAGAUGUGAAAACCACGGGCUCAACCUGUGGCCUGCAUUUGAAACUGUACUUCUUGAGUACUGGAGAGGCAGACGGAAUUCCUAGUGUAGCGGUGAAAUGCGUAGAUAUUAGGAGGAACACCAGUGGCGAAGGCGGUCUGCUGGACAGCAACUGACGCUGAGGCGCGAAAGCGUGGGGAGCAAACAGGAUUAGAUACCCUAGUA
This 466-nucleotide ribosomal RNA is filed under the name uncultured bacterium. RNAcentral describes it as "bacterial SSU rRNA". It matches the Rfam family "Bacterial small subunit ribosomal RNA", at positions 330 to 792 of the family's 1533-position model. The record is from RNAcentral.